RNAcentral lists this long non-coding RNA (1666 nucleotides) under Mus musculus (house mouse). RNAcentral describes it as "long non-coding RNA chr3:135434021-135435687". The record is from RNAcentral. Lineage: Eukaryota; Metazoa; Chordata; Mammalia; Rodentia; Muridae.
UAUUGGUGUCCAUCUGAGGGCCAGAGAAGGUGAAUAUAAGAAACAAAUUUCCAUUCCUCUGCCAGUUUAUUUUAUUCAGAAUCUACAUGGAUUGAAAUUUUCUUAUUUGUGUUGAGGCCAGUCUUUGGUCUCAGUUCAUUGAUUCAAAGGAUAAGCUUUUCCAAGAACAUACCAUGGAUACACCAGAAAUAAUGUUUUACCAACCAUGUGGGCAUCCCUCUACCCAGUCAAGCUGAGUGUUCCAUCAAGGUUGGGCAUCAUAGUAUUUUACAUAUUGCUUUGGGGGCACUGUCCCUUCCCCAGACAAGGCCCUUGAGUAAUAUUUACUUUUCUUCUAACUGGACUACUCGAUGAAAUUAACAAUAUUUAAAAUACUGAUGAAGUGCUAAUAAGUCUUGUAUAAGAUGGCAGUAAGAAAGGUGAUUGCUUAAUUGUGUGCACACACAUAUGUAUAAGAAAGUAUAUUCAUGCCAAAAAAAGGAAAAAAAGCUUUCUUGCUUCCAUUUUCGUUUGCUGGGAUUCCUUCACGAAUAGUUUAAAUGGGCUUGUAAUGUUUUCCUUCCCACUUCUUUCUGCAUACCUCAUCUAGCCUGGCCUAGACCUCAGGAGUAGCCCAGGCCGACCUUAAAACUCACGAUCCUCCCUUAUUCCUAGGAUUACAAGUGUGUGCUACUAUAUGCCAGCAUUCUCUUCUGUUCAGUGCAAUUCUGUUUCAUUGAUGAAUAACCUAAAUCAACUGGAAAGGAUCUGGGUUGCUUGUUUUUGAAUGUUAUGAUUUAACUACUAUGAACAUUUAUAUAUAUGUUUUGUAUGGAGAAAAACACUAUUUUUUAAUCACAAAGAUUUGUGCAUGGCUCAUUACAGCCUGAACCCUACCAAUUUAAUGUCAAAAUACUGUUCUCAACAUGAAGCACAGCUUCCGUUUAAAAGCAAUGCCAUUCCAUAGCCCAGGUUGGCUCUAGCUGGUGCGCUCCUUCCUCCGUUCCCCAGUGCCAGAAUUAGAGGGAUGACACCACGCCCAGCCAAAUACAACUCCCUGAAGGAAGUUCACUCAACCUUACAAAAUGAUAUUUUAAAUUAGAGUAUAAAAUUAGUUGUAUUUUUAUGAAAACCACAUAUUUGUUUCACUUAGGCUUCAAAUCACCUUUUUGCAGGAUAUGCAAAUGAACUUCAAAUAGAAAUUCAUAUAAAUACUUUAUUCUGUAUAUGGUAUAUAUUGAGUAAGGGUACACUUUUUUUUUGUUUUAGACAGUGUAGUCAUAUAUGCUGGCCUCAAAUUUUUAUGGUAUGAAUGUUUUACCUACGUGUGCGUGUGUGUGUGUGUGUGUGUGUGUUUAAUAUGUAUUUCUAUCUUACAUGCAUACCUGUUGCCCACGGAGGCCAGAAGGCAUCAGAUCCACUGGAACUGGAGUUACUGAUGAUUGUGAACCACCAUGAAGAUGCUGGGUACUGAACCUGGUUCUCUGGAAGAGCAACAAGAGUUCUUAACUCUUCAUCCAUCUCUCCAACUCCUGUCAUCAAACUCUUAGGUUCUGCGUCUACCUCCAAAGGUUGGGAUUACAGGCCUUCAAUUCUAUGCCCAGUUAAAAUUCUGUAUCUUAUCUUUUCCUAAUCACUUUGCAUGUCUUCAACUAAUGAUGUAGGAGAUAAACACAGAGUAUUAGCC